Molecule: ribosomal RNA, 221 nt
Filed under: uncultured bacterium
Lineage: Bacteria
Description: partial 16S ribosomal RNA
Rfam family: Bacterial small subunit ribosomal RNA
Source: RNAcentral
UACGUAGGGUGCGAGCGUUAAUCGGAAUUACUGGGCGUAAAGCGUGCGCAGGCGGUUUUGUAAGCCAGAUGUGAAAGCCCCGGGCUUAACCUGGGAAUGGCAUUUGGGACUGCAAGGCUUGAGUGCGGCAGAGGAGACUGGAAUCCUGGUGUAGCAGUGAAAUGCGUAGAUAUCAGGAGGAAUACCGAUGGCGAAGGCAGGUCUCUGGGCUGACACUGACG